AUCACUUCCUCCUGAGUUGGCCCUGCCUUGGGACACUCACUCUUGAACCCCAGCCACCAUGUUGGGAGGAAGCCCAAAGGGGUCGACAGUGGGAGCCCAUGAGGAGAGGCGCAGGUGGAGAGGAGCUGAUGCCCCAGCCUAGAGCCAGCAUCCACCCCAGACACGUCUUGAAGUUGGGUGGAUGUAAGCCUGAAGUUCCAGGAGGCCACCAAGGUUGGGCUGGGAGUAAAGCCAGGGAGGAGAACAGAGCUGAUGAAAGGAGAGAGAGACACCAAGUUCUGAUGACAUCCACAUGCUCUGGCUUUUUGGAUACUUGAGUUACACUUCUUCUCUGUCGCUUAGGCCAGUUUGAAUUAGAUUUCUGUUGCUUGCAACCACAGCAGUCCUAAAUAAUAUACCAUU
RNAcentral lists this long non-coding RNA (402 nucleotides) under Equus asinus (donkey). RNAcentral's name for it is "lncRNA (ENSEASG00005027155.1)". Lineage: Eukaryota; Metazoa; Chordata; Mammalia; Perissodactyla; Equidae. The record is from RNAcentral.